GUCCGGCUAGCUCAGUCAGUAGAGCAUGAGACUCUUAAACUCAGGAUUGAGGAUUCGAGCCACACGUUGGGCG
This 73-nucleotide transfer RNA is filed under the name Danio rerio (zebrafish). It matches the Rfam family "tRNA". Rfam says of the family: Transfer RNA (tRNA) molecules are approximately 80 nucleotides in length. Their secondary structure includes four short double-helical elements and three loops (D, anti-codon, and T loops). Further hydrogen bonds mediate the characteristic L-shaped molecular structure. tRNAs have two regions of fundamental functional importance: the anti-codon, which is responsible for specific mRNA codon recognition, and the 3' end, to which the tRNAs corresponding amino acid is attached (by aminoacyl-tRNA synthetases). tRNAs cope with the degeneracy of the genetic code in two manners: having more than one tRNA (with a specific anti-codon) for a particular amino acid; and 'wobble' base-pairing, i.e. permitting non-standard base-pairing at the 3rd anti-codon position. The record is from Rfam by way of RNAcentral. Lineage: Eukaryota; Metazoa; Chordata; Actinopteri; Cypriniformes; Danionidae.